This 253-nucleotide ribosomal RNA is filed under the name uncultured bacterium. Its description in RNAcentral is "partial 16S ribosomal RNA". It matches the Rfam family "Bacterial small subunit ribosomal RNA", at positions 524 to 776 of the family's 1533-position model. The record is from RNAcentral.
UACAGAGGUCCCAAGCGUUGUUCGGAUUCACUGGGCGUAAAGGGUGCGUAGGCGGCCGGGUAAGUCGGGUGUGAAAUCUCGGAGCUUAACUCCGAAACUGCAUUCGAUACUGCCGUGCUUGAGGACUGGAGAGGAGACUGGAAUUUACGGUGUAGCGGUGAAAUGCGUAGAUAUCGUAAGGAAGACCAGUGGCGAAGGCGGGUCUCUGGACAGUUCCUGACGCUGAGGCACGAAGGCCAGGGGAGCAAACGGG